This 293-nucleotide ribosomal RNA is filed under the name uncultured bacterium. RNAcentral's name for it is "partial 16S ribosomal RNA". It matches the Rfam family "Archaeal small subunit ribosomal RNA", at positions 455 to 747 of the family's 1478-position model. The record is from RNAcentral.
GUGCCAGCCGCCGCGGUAAUACCGGCAGCUCGAGUGAUGUCCAAUAUUAUUGGGCCUAAAGCGUCCGUAGCUGGCCGACCAAGUCUCCCGGGAAAUCCACCCGCCCAACGGGUGGGCGUCCGGUAGAAACUGGCCGGCAUGGAACCGGAAGGCUCAGAGAGUACGUCCGGGGUAGGAGUGAAAUCCCGUAAUCCCGGACGGACUACCUAUGGCGAAAGCACCCUGAGAAGACGGCUUCGACAGUGAGGGACGAAAGCGCGGGUCUCAAACCGGAUUAGAAACCCUAGUAGUCC